GAGUUUGAUCCUGGCUCAGGACGAACGCUGGCGGCGUGCCUAAUACAUGCAAGUAGAACGCUGAAGAGAGGAGCUUGCUCUUCUUGGAUGAGUUGCGAACGGGUGAGUAACGCGUAGGUAACCUGCCUGGUAGCGGGGGAUAACUAUUGGAAACGAUAGCUAAUACCGCAUAAAAUUGAUUAUUGCAUGAUAAUUAAUUGAAAGAUGCAAUUGCAUCACUACCAGAUGGACCUGCGUUGUAUUAGCUAGUUGGUGAGGUAACGGCUCACCAAGGCGACGAUACAUAGCCGACCUGAGAGGGUGAUCGGCCACACUGGGACUGAGACACGGCCCAGACUCCUACGGGAGGCAGCAGUAGGGAAUCUUCGGCAAUGGGGGGAACCCUGACCGAGCAACGCCGCGUGAGUGAAGAAGGUUUUCGGAUCGUAAAGCUCUGUUGUAAGAGAAGAACGGGUGUGAGAGUGGAAAGUUCACACUGUGACGGUAUCUUACCAGAAAGGGACGGCUAACUACGUGCCAGCAGCCGCGGUAAUACGUAGGUCCCGAGCGUUGUCCGGAUUUAUUGGGCGUAAAGCGAGCGCAGGCGGUUAGAUAAGUCUGAAGUUAAAGGCUGUGGCUUAACCAUAGUAUGCCUUGGAAACUGUUUAACUUGAGUGCAGAAGGGGAGAGUGGAAUUCCAUGUGUAGCGGUGAAAUGCGUAGAUAUAUGGAGGAACACCGGUGGCGAAAGCGGCUCUCUGGUCUGUAACUGACGCUGAGGCUCGAAAGCGUGGGGAGCAAACAGGAUUAGAUACCCUGGUAGUCCACGCCGUAAACGAUGAGUGCUAGGUGUUAGGCCCUUUCCGGGGCUUAGUGCCGCAGCUAACGCAUUAAGCACUCCGCCUGGGGAGUACGACCGCAAGGUUGAAACUCAAAGGAAUUGACGGGGGCCCGCACAAGCGGUGGAGCAUGUGGUUUAAUUGGAAGCAACGCGAAGAACCUUACCAGGUCUUGACAUCCCUCUGACCGCUCUAGAGAUAGAGUUUUCCUUCGGGACAGCGGUGACAGGUGGUGCAUGGUUGUCGUCAGCUCGUGUCGUGAGAUGUUGGGUUAAGUCCCGCAACGAGCGCAACCCCUAUUGUUAGUUGCCAUCAUUCAGUUGGGCACUCUAGCGAGACUGCCGGUAAUAAACCGGAGGAAGGUGGGGAUGACGUCAAAUCAUCAUGCCCCUUAUGACCUGGGCUACACACGUGCUACAAUGGCUGGUACAACGAGUCGCAAGCCGGUGACGGCAAGCUAAUCUCUGAAAGCCAGUCUCAGUUCGGAUUGUAGGCUGCAACUCGCCUACAUGAAGUCGGAAUCGCUAGUAAUCGCGGAUCAGCACGCCGCGGUGAAUACGUUCCCGGGCCUUGUACACACCGCC
RNAcentral lists this ribosomal RNA (1401 nucleotides) under uncultured bacterium. Its description in RNAcentral is "16S ribosomal RNA". It matches the Rfam family "Bacterial small subunit ribosomal RNA". The record is from RNAcentral.